Gopherus agassizii (Agassiz's desert tortoise) is the source of this 2239-nucleotide long non-coding RNA. NCBI's taxonomy places the organism in Eukaryota, Metazoa, Chordata, Testudines, Testudinidae. The record is from Ensembl.
AUGACCUGGCUGCUGGCUGCCAGCACACGGCAGCAGCAGCUGCAGGCAGCAGGUCGCGGCACCGUGACCAUGGACCCCUCAGUGACCAAAGCCACCCUGAAGGUGCUGGGGCUGUGCGUGGUCCUGCUUUUCCUGGUCGCCGCGGUGAUGGUCUCUGUGGCGGUGAUGAUGUGGCACUCGGAGGCUGUACGGAUGCUGCAGGGAUGCCAGGAGCAGGCAGCCAAUGAGACCUCAGCCCUGGGGGGCCGUGUGGCCGAGCUGGAGCGGGAUGUGGCCAAGCUUACCGGGCGGCUGCAGGAGGACGCUCAGAAGAAGAAGCAGCUUCAGAGGCAGUUGGGCCAGGCCAAGGAUGAGGGCAGGAAGCUCAAAGCCACCUUGCUGUCCUGCCGGGAGCGUGAGAGCACGCUCUCCGCCAACAUGACAGCCCUGCGGAACACGCUUGCAGCCAUUCAGCUGGAGGGCACCGAGAUGGACACCAGAAACAUCGCCUUGCAAGCGGAGCUGACCCAGUGGCAGGGGAAAGCCACGGAGCAGGAGCUGCGGCUGGAGGAGGCCCUGCAGCAGCACCAGGCAUCGGAGGCGCGGAGGGGGCAGUGCGAGGCCCGGCAGAGUGAGCUCCAGCGCAGCAUGCGGGACUACAGGGCCGAAAUCGAGUCCCUCCAGCGGCAGCUGAGCUCCCGAGCCACCAGGCGCAGGUGCCCCCCAUUCUGGUAUUUUGUGUGGGUGAUGGCAAGCACUUCUUGCUUUAUUUUCUCGCUCGAAGGGUUGAAAUCUUACAUCUGAAGCAUCUAGGGGAAGCCAGGCUUAAAGGAGAUGACAGGGCUCGUGAGCAACCAUUUCCGAUUCCCCCCUCCCCCUUACAGAGCAGGGCACGCUGCUCUCCACACCAGAGACAGCUGCAAUUACCCAAAAACAGCUGCACCACGGAACAGCCCGUCCCGCUCCAGAAGCCAGAAGCCUCUUCCUGCAACAGUAACAGCCAUAAACUAAUUGAAAAGACACCGAGUCCGCUGGAUCCUACUAGGCUGAGGCACCCCAAAGGAUGCUGGGAAAUCUGUCAUUGUACCCUGCCACAUGGACCUCUCUCUCUCUCUCUCUCUCUCUCUGUCCUGGCUCCAUUCUGUCUGCCUCUCCCUGCUCCUCCCUUCCCUCCUUCGCGACAUGCUUCUGCCUGGAGUCUACUGAACUCUGCACAGUGUGUGCCUGCAUCUAAGCUGCCUGGUGUCGUUCUUGAUCGUAUAAUCUACUCACCAGGAGGAAAUCAGAUCACCCGGUGCUAAUAUCGCCUCUGGGGCUGGACUCACUCACGAGGGAGUCUAACCAGCAUUUAACAGCCUGUGUUUGUAUGCAGAUCUGCUCACUAAUAUUUUAAUAGUGUUAGCCAAAUAGGCUUGUUUCCCCCUGGAGCUACUCAAUUACCCCAAGGAGGCACGGAAGACGGGUACCAAACUUUUAUUCUCGGUCAGCUGAUCGGGUGUUUCUCCUCGGCUAGUGCCAGAGAAGAAGACACACCUUACUGGCUUGGAACAGCCUUUAUAUACUAGGUUACAAACAUCUUUACGUGCAAAACUUCUGUUAGUCCAUACAUUUCUUGAAUUCCUUUUUCAGAUAAGUUGGAUCUGUUUAACAUCUUCCUCCUAGGUAUUUUGCCUAUGUGCAUUUAAGAAGGGUUAUAUACGUGCAAAGAUUAACUGGGAUGAUACUGGGAUGAUAAGCAGAGGAUUGCCAUAAGCAAAGAGUUAACAAAUUCCUUUUGCUCUUACAAUACUAGCUGCCUGAUGGGUCUCAUUAGUGACAUCAACACCACACCAAGAACCAGGUAUCCCUGCAGGGCCUUUGGCCUCCAAGAACGUAAGAAUGGAUUGGCCCUACUGGGUCAGACCAAAGUUCCAUCUAGCCCAGUAUCCUGUCUUCCGACAGUGGCCAGUGCCAGGUUCCCCAGAGGGAAUGAACAGAACAGGGAAUCACCCAGUGAUCCCUCCCCUGUGGCCCAUUCCCAGCUCUGGCAAACAGCCCAGCAUUUCAGAGAACCCACACCUCCAUCCUUUGGUAGUCUGGCAGGUUGUACAGGUGUUAAUGGGGUUAAGAUCUGGCCCUAUCUCCACAGGGAUUUUUCACCCACCACUGAAAUCUACCCACCCUCUGUGGAAGAACUUAGCAAUUGUUUAACAGCACCCAGCCAGGCAGCACCACCACAGCAGGAUUUGGGACAGGAAUAAAUUCUCCAGCACAAACUACA